AAUACGCCAACUCUCGUUACCUGGUAACUGUCCGUGAUCUUAUCCUGAGUUGGGUAGUUAUCAAUGGAUCAUCCCGGGAACCGGACUACGCGGUAUAUCUAACUACCGUACUGUCUAUAUAGUAAUGUCACGUCCAUUAUACUAUAUUACACAACACUCCUCCCCACUUUGAAAGGAGUGAGUUUACUUCCUAUUUGAAUUUUCACUAUAUUCCUUUAGUCCACCCCGUCUGGUUGCACCACGGGGAUAAAAGAAA
RNAcentral lists this long non-coding RNA (256 nucleotides) under Mytilus galloprovincialis (Mediterranean mussel). The record is from RNAcentral. Lineage: Eukaryota; Metazoa; Mollusca; Bivalvia; Mytilida; Mytilidae.